Molecule: ribosomal RNA, 484 nt
Filed under: uncultured bacterium
Lineage: Bacteria
Description: partial 16S ribosomal RNA
Rfam family: Bacterial small subunit ribosomal RNA
Source: RNAcentral
AUUGAACGCUGGCGGCAUGCUUUACACAUGCAAGUCGAACGGCAGCGCGGGCUUCGGCCUGGCGGCGAGUGGCGAACGGGUGAGUAAUGCAUCGGUACGCGCCCAGCUGCGGGGUCUUGGCGGGUAACAUCGGGAUACUUACCCCAAUACCCCAUAGGGUCUAAGGGGGAAAGCAAAGGAUCUUCGGCCCUUGCGCGGGCGGAUGUCGGAUUAGCUAGUUGGUGGGGUAAAGGCUUACCAAGGCGACGAUCCGUAGCUGGUCUGAGAGGACGACCAGCCACACUGGAACUGAGACACGGCCCAGACUCCUACGGGAGGCAGCAGUGGGGAAUAUUGGACAAUGGGGGCAAGCCUGAUCCAGCCAUGCCGCGUGCGGGAAGAAGGCCUUCGGGUUGUAAACCGCUUUUGUUCGGGAAGAAAUCCUGUGGGCUAAUACCCCGGGGUGAUGACGGUACCGGAAGAAUAAGCACCGGCUAACUACGUG